This 468-nucleotide ribosomal RNA is filed under the name uncultured bacterium. Its description in RNAcentral is "partial 16S ribosomal RNA". It matches the Rfam family "Bacterial small subunit ribosomal RNA", at positions 28 to 507 of the family's 1533-position model. The record is from RNAcentral.
GACGAACGCUGGCGGCGUGCUUAACACAUGCAAGUCGAACGGAAAGGCCCUGCUUUUGUGGGGUUCUCGAGUGGCGAACGCGUGGGUAACACGUGUGUAACCUGCCCUUGACUUUGGGAUAUCUUCAGGUAACUGGGGCUACUACCGGAUAGGAUCUCCUGCUGCAUUGUGGGCGUUGGAAAGUUUCGGCGUUUGGGGAUGGACUCGCGGCUUAUCCGCUUGUUUGUGGGGUAGUGGCUUACCCAGGCUUUGACGGGUAGCCGGCCUGUGAGGUUUACCGGCGACAAGGGGACUGAGAGAGGGCGCAGACUGGAACGGGAGGCAGCAGUGGGGAAUAUUACACAAUGGGAGGAAGCCAGAUGAAGAAACGCCGCGAGCGGGAUGACGGCCUACGGGGUGAAAACAGCUUUCGAAUGAGACGAAGCGGGAGUGACGGUAAUGAGUAAAGAAGCACCGGCUAACUACGUG